AUUUAUCUCAUUUAUAAAUUUUUUAGAUCCUACAGCACUCACUAUCUGCUCAGAUAUUAAUAUCGAGUAGAUCCAACAUACCUUCUGAAGGUAUGUCCCUUAUCAAUUUCUCUAGAUUCUCCAAAUAUACAGGAAUCCUUUCUCUUGAACUCUUCAAGGUCCCAUUGGAAGUCAUCAACUCAACCAAGGUGCAAUUAAUUUUAUUCAUGUGGUAGUUUGCUAUAAACUUCCAUAUGAAUUGAUAAGAGACUGUAAGAUCAAAUCCCUUCACAAUUCCUUAUAC
Molecule: long non-coding RNA, 283 nt
Filed under: Elaeis guineensis (African oil palm)
Lineage: Eukaryota; Viridiplantae; Streptophyta; Magnoliopsida; Arecales; Arecaceae
Description: long non-coding RNA (EGUI_LNC049078)
Source: RNAcentral